RNAcentral lists this ribosomal RNA (688 nucleotides) under uncultured bacterium. RNAcentral's name for it is "bacterial SSU rRNA". It matches the Rfam family "Bacterial small subunit ribosomal RNA", at positions 723 to 1409 of the family's 1533-position model. The record is from RNAcentral.
GGGUCUCUGGGCAGUAACUGACGCUGAGGAGCGAAAGCGUGGGGAGCGAACAGGAUUAGAUACCCUGGUAGUCCACGCUGUAAACGGUGGGCGCUAGGUGUGGGUUUCCUUCCAUGAAAUCCGUGCCGUAGCUAACGCAUUAAGCGCCCCGCCUGGGGAGUACGGCCGCAAGGCUAAAACUCAAAGAAAUUGACGGGGGCCCGCACAAGCGGCGGAGCAUGUGGAUUAAUUCGAUGCAACGCGAAGAACCUUACCUGGGUUUGACAUGGACCGGAAAGCCGUAGAGAUACGGCCCCCCUUGUGGUCGGUUCACAGGUGGUGCAUGGCUGUCGUCAGCUCGCGUCGUGAGAUGUUGGGUUAAGUCCCGCAACGAGCGCAACCCUUGUCCUGUGUUGCCAGCGCGUAAUGGCGGGGACUCUCAGGAAACUGCCGGGGUCAACUCGGAGGAAGGUGGGGACGACGUCAAGUCAUCAUGCCCCUUAUGUCCAGGGCUUCACACAUGCUACAAUGGCGCGUACAGAGGGCAGCGAUACCGCGAGGUGGAGCGAAUCCCUUAAAGCGCGUCUCAGUUCGGAUUGGGGUCUGCAACUCGACCCCAUGAAGUCGGAGUCGCUAGUAAUCGCAGAUCAGCAACGCUGCGGUGAAUACGUUCCCGGGCCUUGUACACACCGCCCGUCAAGCCAUGGAA